This 320-nucleotide ribosomal RNA is filed under the name uncultured eukaryote. RNAcentral's name for it is "partial 18S ribosomal RNA". It matches the Rfam family "Eukaryotic small subunit ribosomal RNA", at positions 1470 to 1796 of the family's 1831-position model. The record is from RNAcentral.
CCCUUAGAUGUCCUGGGCUGCACGCGCGCUACACUGAUGUGUCCAGUAAGCACCUAACCUCUUCCGAAAGGAACGGGUAACCUUUGCAAAGCACAUCGUGAUGGGGAUAGAUUAUUGCAAUUAUUACUCUUCAACGAGGAAUUCCUAGUAAGCGCAAGUCAGCAGCUUGCGCUGAUUACGUCCCUGCCCUUUGUACACACCGCCCGUCGCUCCUACCGAUGGGUGAUCCGGUGAGUGAUUCGGACUUCAGCGGCUCCUCUGGGGUGCGCCGGAGAAAGUUUUGUGAACCUUAUCACUUGGAGGAAGGAGAAGUCGUAACA